UAUUAGAUAAAGAACCAAUAUUUUUGGUGACUCAUAAUAACUUUACGGAUCACAUUAUGUGACAUAUCAUUCAAGUUUCUGACCUAUCAGCUUUAGACGGUAGGGUAUUGGCCUACCGUGGCUAUGACGGGUAACGGGGAAUUAGGGUUCGAUUCCGGAGAGGGAGCCUGAGAAACGGCUACCACAUCUAAGGAAGGCAGCAGGCGCGCAAAUUACCCAAUCCUAAUACAGGGAGGUAGUGACAAGAAAUAACAAUACAGAACCUUACGGUUUUGUAAUUGGAAUGAGUUAAGUAUAAACCCCUUAACAAGUAUCAAUUGGAGGGCAAGUCUGGUGCCAGCAGCCGCGGUAAUUCCAGCUCCAAUAGCGUAUAUUAAAGUUGUUGCAGUUAAAAAGCUCGUAGUUAAUCUUCUGUUAAUUUUUAUAUAUAAUAUCUCGAUAUUUAUAUAAUAUUAACAUAAUUCAUAUUACUUUUUAGUAUAUGAAACUUUACUUUGAGAAAAUUAGAGUGCUUAAAGCAGGCUAUUGCCUUGAAUACUCCAGCAUGGAAUAAUAUUAAGGAUUUUUAUUCUUCUUAUUGGUUCUAGAAUAAAAAUGAUGAUUAAUAGGAACAGUUGGGGGCAUUUGUAUUUAACAGUCAGAGGUGAAAUUCUUAGAUUUGUUAAAGACAAACUACUGCGAAAGCAUUUGCCAAGGAUGUUUUCAUUAAUCAAGAACGAAAGUUAGGGGAUCGAAGACGAUCAGAUACCG
This 750-nucleotide ribosomal RNA is filed under the name Cryptosporidium xiaoi. RNAcentral's name for it is "SSU rRNA". It matches the Rfam family "Eukaryotic small subunit ribosomal RNA", at positions 208 to 1017 of the family's 1831-position model. Lineage: Eukaryota; Apicomplexa; Conoidasida; Eucoccidiorida; Cryptosporidiidae. The record is from RNAcentral.